Molecule: ribosomal RNA, 427 nt
Filed under: uncultured bacterium
Lineage: Bacteria
Description: bacterial SSU rRNA
Rfam family: Bacterial small subunit ribosomal RNA
Source: RNAcentral
UGGGGAAUAUUGGACAAUGGGGGAAACCCUGAUCCAGCGACGCCGCGUGGGUGAAGAAGGCCUGCGGGUUGUAAAGCCCUUUCGGUUGGGAAGAAAAGUUGCGACCUAACACGUCGCGACCUUGACGUAACCAACUAAAGAAGCACCGGCUAACUCUGUGCCAGCAGCCGCGGUAAUACAGAGGGUGCGAGCGGUAAUCGGAAUUACUGGGCGUAAAGCGCGCGUAGGCGGCUUGGCAAGUCGGGUGUCAAAUCCCCGGGCUUAACCUGGGAACUGCGUUUGUGACUGCAAGGCGGGAGUACGGCAGAGGGGGGUGGAAUUCCACGUGUAGCAGUGAAAUGCGUAGAGAUGUGGAGGAACACCGAUGGCGAAGGCAGCCCCCUGGGCCUGUACUGACGCUCAUGCACGAAAGCGUGGGGAGCAAACA